RNAcentral lists this ribosomal RNA (465 nucleotides) under uncultured bacterium. RNAcentral's name for it is "partial 16S ribosomal RNA". It matches the Rfam family "Bacterial small subunit ribosomal RNA", at positions 28 to 507 of the family's 1533-position model. The record is from RNAcentral.
GACGAACGCUGGCGGCGUGCUUAACACAUGCAAGUCGAACGGAAAGGCCCCUUUGGGGGUACUCGAGUGGCGAACGGGUGAGUAACACGUGAGUAACCUGCCCUUGACUUCGGGAUAACUUCAGGAAACUGGGGCUAAUACCGGAUAGGAAUCCUUGCUGCAUGGUGGGGGUUGGAAAGCUUCGGCGGUUUUGGAUGGACUCGCAGCUUAUCAGCUUGUUGGUGGGGUAGUGGCUUACCAAGGCUUUGACGGGUAGCCGGUCUGAGAGGGCGACCGGCCACAUUGGGACUGAGAUACGGCCCAGACUCCUACGGGAGGCAGCAGUGGGGAAUAUUGCACAAUGGGCGGAAGCCUGAUGCAGCAACGCCGCGUGCGGGAUGACGGCCUUCGGGUUGGAAACCGCUUUCAGCAGGGGCGAAGCUUGUGGUGACGGUACCUGCAGAAGAAGCACCGGCUAACUACGUG